UGGCGGACGGGUGAGUAACACGUGGGUGACCUGCCCCGAAGUGCGGCAUAACAGGGGGAAACUCCUGCUAAUUCCGCAUGUGCUCCCACCUCUUGUGGUGUGAGUAAAGAUUUAUCGCUUCGGGAUGGGCCCGCGGUCCAUCAGCUAGUUGGUAGGGUAAUGGCCUACCAAGGCGACGACGGAUAGCCGGCCUGAGAGGGCGAUCGGCCACAGGGGCACUGAGAUACGGGCCCCACUCCUACGGGAGGCAGCAGUUAGGAAUCUUCCACAAUGGGCGAAAGCCUGAUGGAGCGACACAGCGUGAAGGAUGAAGGCCUUAGGGUUAUAAACUUCUAAAAGAGGGACGAUAAUGACGGUACCUCUUGAAAAGCACCGGCUAACUCCGUGCCAGCAGCCGCGGUAAU
Molecule: ribosomal RNA, 404 nt
Filed under: uncultured bacterium
Lineage: Bacteria
Description: bacterial SSU rRNA
Rfam family: Bacterial small subunit ribosomal RNA
Source: RNAcentral